CUCACUGCUUCGCAUAUCCUCUCCCGACUAUUUGCUCUCUUCUCAUCCGUCAGUGAAACCUCAAAAUAAAUGUAUUUCGUCGUUCAUAGACUUCUAGUAUAGUCAGACAAUCAUCGUCAUCAUCUCAGCGACGAGACGACAAACAACCGACCAUUUUCGUAGUUCCUCAAUUUGGUCGGAGAGCGUCUCAACACAUCCAUCGUAAAACGGAACGGACGACGAUGAGCCAGCAGAAAGUGAACGAAUCUAACUGCGAAUCGCCUCCCAGCCCAACUAAGCAAGCCAUAAUCAUAACGUAAACAUCGUCAUAACAGCAGCAGCAGCACUCACACACUCGCGAGAGCUCGGAAACCCAUACGCUGACGGUGACCUAGUCGAUUGAUGGUUGCGCUCCGUUCAUGUCUAUGAGCGUUGAGCGUAGCAAGCUUUGCCUACUGGCUGCUAUGGCUACUAGCACUGCUGAGCACUAGAAGUGGGAGCAGCAAGUUGACACGUUCGGUGGACGGAGGCGGAAAGCAACUUCAGGAUCUUACAUUUCUAGCGUUACUUUCGGAAAGACGGCCAAAUGUGGAUUGUGGACAUUCUGAGGAGUUCUUCCAGAAUAAACUCUAUGACCAUUACUGUUACUUUUGGUAGAUUUUUUUUUACGGGGAACAUACCCUUUCCACAUGUUACGCUAGGGUUUUUCCUAUUUCGGAUCCCCAACCGAACCACAGUCAGCAGCUUUAAGGUUUGCGCUUUGUGUGCUCUCCGGGUUGUGAUGCUUUUUCCAACCGUUAGGUGGGUAGCUGCCAAGGUUGCCCUGCGCUGCUUCGAAGAAGAGCAACAAAGGGUCAUCCGUCCGUGGAGCAGGAUGUAAUUUUUGGGGUUUCCUCUUUCUGUUGGCUGGGAUGGAUGGAUGGAUGUAACCCAUUCAUGUAUUGCUGUGUACCUUUCGAUCGUAGCACGGCAAAACGUAAGCUUAAGUAUCUGCUAGAGAUGGACGUUGGACUAGCUAACAGUGACUACUUAUAGAGCGAAGCCUUUGGGCUAACUUGUCUCGUUCGGUAGAUAAUGAACUACACAUCUAUUGGUAGAAGGUCGCGAACACAGAAACCGAUUUUCUAACCGUUUGAUGCCAAUGAUAGUGAUAAGGUUAUCUACCUCGCAAUAAUACAUACACGAAUGGAGUAGAAUUAAAUUAGAACUAUCGAAGUUCAGAAAACCAGUUCAUUUGAAACAGAACGAUAGUUAACAUCCCUGAAAAAGGUUCAAAAUGAGCCGAAAAGUCGGCAAAACUGUAAAAUAUUUUAGUCCCGUUAUAAAUUAUUUUAACAAAAAUGUUACAAAAAAGCUGCUAGGGCUUUGAAAAUUUUCCAUGAUCGAAAAUGUAUCGCAAGUUGUAACAAGCUUCAUAAAUAACAGCAGCGAAGGAGAGCCCCGAAGAAAGAGCGAUGAAAAAACCCAUUUUUCUCGCUUAUAUACCAUUGGUGGCAGGUAGUUUACUCUACUGGAAUGAUAAGCAAUCCCCCAAUAUCUGAUAGCAAUAAUAGUGUCUCCCAGGUUUGGAGCUUGUUUCGAUGGGCUUUAUCAUGCACUGUUAUCCCCCGAUAUAAUCAGAGCAGUAGCAGUAGAUGAUGAACAGACUAUCAUGAAGUGUAGCGGAUCAUAAUUGUUACAGAGCGCGAUAAGUGAGAGAUACUCUAAAUUUUCACAGAAUUCAACCCCUACUUUGAGUAAUUGAGCUCAUUCAUUUUUUGGAUUCAUAUACUAUUGAGCUCUUUGCAAUCUCAAGAUUCUCCUUGACGUUAUACGGUUUUUAGCAGUGAAUGUAUCUUACUGCGCGGAAGAGUUUCUCAUAAACUUCAAUAACAUGAAGCACAUCAUGUGUACAAAAAGUUAACAUUAGAAAUGUAUACGUAAAGCUGUUCGAUAGUAAAUUUUCCGUUUACAACGAGCUAUUUAACUCUCAAGAUAAUAUUGCCGAGUCCACUAUCCAUUUCUUACAGACCGCAAUAGAUUUCGUCAAAGAAGAAGAGUAAUUCGAAGAACCCCAAUCCGAAGAAAGUUGGAGAUUUCAAAUCACGGUUCCCAGACCGUUACUAUAAAAAAAAUCUCCAUCAAAUUUGAGCUCACCAGUCGUUAU
Long non-coding RNA from Aedes aegypti (yellow fever mosquito), 2125 nucleotides. RefSeq lists it as uncharacterized. The transcript has 3 exons. The record is from RefSeq and is a predicted model, not a curated record. Lineage: Eukaryota; Metazoa; Arthropoda; Insecta; Diptera; Culicidae.